ACACCGCCAUUCUCACCCUCUCUCUUCAUCUCUCUCUCUUUCUUACUCUGUCUCGCUGCUCCCCACCGUCCCACCGUCUUGCGCCGCCCGCCGCCACUACUCCCCCACUGCUCCCCCACCAUCUUGCGCCGCCUGUCGUUUAAUCUCUCCCUCUCUGUCUUCAUAUCUCCCUCUCUCUGAUUCUCUCUCGCCAGAUCUGGUGCCGACAGAUCUAGGCGACCCCUCGGCCUCUUGUUGGUGUACAUAUAUCAUCCUCCUUCUCCAGAGCCUCCACCACCGCCCCCGGCGGGGUUCCGUUGUUGCCGCCGUCGAGAUCGCUCCUGCCGUCCUCGUCACGGUUGCUCUUCUGGCCGCUGAUGUUGAGGGUGCCGCUGGUCUCAAUUUGCUCAUCGUUUGAGUUGUGGAUCUGGUGAUGGUGGAAUUACUCAAAUUCAGUCAGGUAAUUUGACGAGCAUCUCUUGAUUUUUUUUUAUUUGUAAUUUUGGGAUUUUGAUUGAAUGAUUGUGUGGUUAUUUCCCAGAUUUUACUGUUUGUUCUGACAUUAGGUGUUGAUGCUUGAUUUGAUGCAAAGUUUGUUGUCUUUGGCUUGCAAUUAAUUACUGUAUAUGUAAUCGGGAUAAGAGUCGAUUGAUGAUAUAAAUUGUUUUCUUAUAUUGUAGUGUUGACUUAAAUUAUAUAUACAUAACCAUAAUUAUACGUAGUAACAUAUAGUAAUAUAUAGUAACAUACGCAUAUAACCGUGUAUUUUCAAUCGAUAUUUGUAAUAAAAAUUGUUAUUUAUAGUUAUAUAAAAGAUUUUGCUUUGUUUUCUUUUUUGUAAUUAAAAUUCUACUCUCCAUAUACAUACCUACAAUUCAUAAUUUAAAUUAUAUGUGUACAUACCUCAUUAAUUUUCACAUUUUAUUAUCUGAGUUUAUUUGUCAUCUCAUUAAUUCAGUUUCAAGAACAUACAACAAAUCAAAUGAUUUUCUGUGAUAGAAUUUCACUACAGUAAGUAAAUAUUUUUUUUUCAACCACAUUGUUCUAUUCAUCACCUUUAUAUAUUUAUAUAUAGAUUCAAUAGUGAACUUUUUUGUGGUGUAGAUGAAUUUUAUUUAUAUACAUAUAUAGUCACAUAUGGUCAGGUACGUGUAGUCAUAUAUAGUCACAUGUAGUAAUAAGAAUGAACCUAACUACAUGU
Molecule: long non-coding RNA, 1180 nt
Filed under: Erythranthe guttata (spotted monkey flower)
Lineage: Eukaryota; Viridiplantae; Streptophyta; Magnoliopsida; Lamiales; Phrymaceae
Description: long non-coding RNA (EGUT_LNC002400)
Source: RNAcentral